Long non-coding RNA from Myripristis murdjan (pinecone soldierfish), 263 nucleotides. RefSeq lists it as uncharacterized. The record is from RefSeq and is a predicted model, not a curated record. The transcript has 3 exons. Lineage: Eukaryota; Metazoa; Chordata; Actinopteri; Holocentriformes; Holocentridae.
UAAAGAUCAACCUCCAGCCUUCAGUGCUGAACCUGGACCUUCAGACACAAAAGGUUCCUGCCACAGAGCAGAGUCUGCAGUGUCCAGCUGUCUGUCCAUGAAGAGUGACUGGUCUAAAGAUAAACCUCCAGAGUUCAGUGCUGAACAUGGACCUUCAGACACAAAGGACAGGAAGAGGAAUCAAGGCGAUGUGAAGGAACAGCUAUCCUGCUGUGCUUUGUGUCAGGAGGUCCUGAGGGAUCCAGUCUCCACCAGCUGUGGAC